Molecule: ribosomal RNA, 483 nt
Filed under: uncultured bacterium
Lineage: Bacteria
Description: partial 16S ribosomal RNA
Rfam family: Bacterial small subunit ribosomal RNA
Source: RNAcentral
GACGAACGCUGGCGGCGUGCCUAACACAUGCAAGUCGAACGAGGUCCAAGGGAGCUUGCUCCCUGAAGACCUAGUAGCGAACGGGUGAGUAACACGUGAGAAACCUGCCCUCGAGUGGGGAAUAACCCGGGGAAACCCGGGCUAAUACCGCAUACGCUCCUCUGGUCGCAUGGCCGGAGGAGGAAAGUUUUUCGCUCAAGGAGGGUCUCGCGGCCUAUCAGCUUGUUGGCGGGGUAACGGCCCACCAAGGCUACGACGGGUAGCUGGUUUGAGAGAACGAUCAGCCACACUGGGACUGAGACACGGCCCAGACUCCUACGGGAGGCAGCAGUGGGGAAUCUUGCGCAAUGGGCGAAAGCCUGACGCAGCAACGCCGCGUGCGGGAUGACGGCCUUCGUGGUUGUAAACCGCUUUCAGCAGGGACGAAAAUGACGGUACCUGCAGAAGAAGCUCCGGCUAACUACGUGCCAGCCGCCGCCGUAA